UUUUAAUAAUUACCUCAAUGGCUUUCGCCUCACACUUAUUAAUUAAUUUAUCCACUGGGUUCACCGCAAAGACCAACAAAAAUCACACAAUCCUCCAAGCAAACCUAAUUUUAAAGACUUGUUAAUAAUUUUUUUCCAUUUUUCACUAAUUUUCACACAAUUAUCACCUUUUAUUUAAAUUUGUAGUUCUUUUUUCAAUUUAAUAUCUUAAUAGUCAUGAAUAUUUUUCACUGAACUUCCAAUUUUCAGUAUGAACGUUUUUUCUCGUUCAGCACCAAUUUUCUAACUAUUAACCUCUCUUCGUUGGCUACUCUCUUUUAUAACCUUUUCAGUGCGCCGUUGUAGCUUUCCACUGAUGGACAUUUUGUUCAUUAGACACCAGUUAUCCUUAUCUAAAUUAAAGAAAUGGUCUCUGUCUAGUGAAACUUUCAUACUCAUAUUUGCCCAAAAAAAUUAAGAGUCACAAUUUUUCUCGCGACUGCUAUCUAAGAGUAUUUAACUCCACAUCGGCAACACCGUCUCUACUUUGCUUAAGUUCCAUUACCAAUUCCAUUUGGGUUAUCACUUCGUAGUGAAUGUCAUUCAUAGCCAUCUGACAACUGUCAUUGUUUUUGGCAUUAGUAUUUGGCGGUGGUAGUAUUAGCUUGCGUCGUUCCAAUUUAUUUUUAUAUUUCUACAAUUAAACCAUUUUAUAUUUAUUAAUUAUUUCUUUUUUUUUUCUUUUCAGCGGUUUUUCUGGUGGCGGAGUAUCGGAGCCGGCCAUAUUUCUCGUGAACACACAUCACUUUCCUUGGAAUGUAAUAUGGGCUCACUGCAAGAAUUUUGGCUGCCCCGACACUCUCCCACCGGUAAUGUAUUUGCCGAAAUAUAAGUCCUGGCCACCAUUCCCAGGCAAUACUAAACACCACGAGACAGAUCUUUUGCCAGCCACCAACCAACAUCACAGGCAUUUUAAUUAGCCUGCAUAUCAAGAACAAUUCUAACAUUACUAACAAGGCAUGGCUAACAAUGACAAGUGUUACCCGCAACAAGUGCCUACCAAAACCUAAAUAUUAACCCCUUACUAACAUCUAGCCCUUCCUAGCUUCCCCAUCUUUAAAGGCACAUCGGAAGCUAGGAAUAAUUUAAUUCACCCGUGGUUUGGAGACCGCCACGAAGGCAAAAAUGGUCUCCCCUAAAAAACCCUCCACGCAAAAUUUUUUUUUGGGUGUCCAGGUGCGGACUUGGGCAUUUCGAGGGCCUCGCAACAAAACUCCAUCACUGGCAAAAACUGCCGCCAGAGAUGGUGUGCUGAGGGCCUAUGGAUUCGUGGCUACAUUUGUUUGGAUCAAGUCCAACGUGGGGAAUUCUCACGCCCUGAGAUGAGCCGGGCAAUCAGAUUAGGGAAGUAUUAAUAGGUAUUUGUAAUUGAAUGUUCCGAUACUUGGUGACCGGUUUGUUUCUUUCCAGGGCUGGAUUUUCGGACAUCACUUCUGGGCCUAUCAUUUGGACCUACAGGAACUAGGUUUGGAUUUGUAACGGACCAAGGGUUUUGGAUCUUAUUUUCCAAUAUUCUAUUCACUCCAAGAUUUCCAAGAGUAGGCACUGCACUGGCCUGAGGGUCACCACCGACAGCCCCUUGCAGAUACACUGGACCCAGGGAAUUUGUUACCGGAGAGCUAACGUUAAUGGUUUGGGACAUAUCCCUAAUUUGACCCUGAUCGUUGGUAUUUCCCUCCGCCAUUUCAGAUUUUGGACCGAGUGGCUAUAUUCAUUCCCAAUGAUGCUGUGACGAUUUAAACUAUAUGUGGAGGAAUUUCGGACGAGAUGUGAUGUGUGCAGUUGCAAUUGGUCUUCCAAAAAGGUAUGUUUAGGUGGUGAUGCAUAGAACAACUUUAAACACAAUAUUAACAAAAAUCCC
Musca domestica (house fly) is the source of this 1900-nucleotide long non-coding RNA. RefSeq lists it as uncharacterized. The transcript is spliced from 4 exons. Lineage: Eukaryota; Metazoa; Arthropoda; Insecta; Diptera; Muscidae. The record is from RefSeq and is a predicted model, not a curated record.